This 459-nucleotide ribosomal RNA is filed under the name uncultured bacterium. RNAcentral's name for it is "partial 16S ribosomal RNA". It matches the Rfam family "Bacterial small subunit ribosomal RNA", at positions 29 to 523 of the family's 1533-position model. The record is from RNAcentral.
AACGAACGCUGGCGGCAUGCCUAACACAUGCAAGUCGAACGGGAUCCGGACUUCGGUUCGGUGAGAGUGGCGGACGGGUGAGUAACGCGUGGGAACCUGCCCAGUGGUGGGGGAUAACUGCGGGAAACUGCAGCUAAUACCGCAUGAGCCCGAGAGGGGAAAGAUUUAUCGCCAUUGGAGGGGCCCGCGUUCGAUUAGGUAGUUGGUGAGGUAAUGGCUCACCAAGCCGACGAUCGAUAGCUGGUCUGAGAGGAUGAUCAGCCACACUGGGACUGAGAUACGGCCCAGACUCCUACGGGAGGCAGCAGUGGGGAAUAUUGGACAAUGGGGGCAACCCUGAUCCAGCAAUGCCGCGUGAGUGAUGAAGGCCUUCGGGUUGUAAAGCUCUUUUGGCGGGGACGAUGAUGACGGUACCCGCAGAAUAAGCCCCGGCUAACUUCGUGCCAGCCGCCGCAGUAA